This 2109-nucleotide long non-coding RNA is filed under the name Homo sapiens (human). RNAcentral describes it as "HSALNT0372972". The record is from RNAcentral. Lineage: Eukaryota; Metazoa; Chordata; Mammalia; Primates; Hominidae.
CUCGCUUGUCCUUGAGGUUUACUGUGUUUGGCAUCGCAGUUCCGACGGCAGCCGCCGUUUCGCGACCCACGGCGGACUUGCAUAAACACUUUCUAGUUGGAAUCUCACCCUGUGAGGUGGGCAAGGUAGUGAUAUUCCUGUUUGACGCCGACAGAAAUAAGAGAGAUUGACUCUCAGAACCAUGUGGCGGGAUUUUAAAGGAGGAUCUUAACAGUGGCUCGGACAGACCCGUGUUUUCUGCUCCUAGCAUUAACUACGUCGUUAAACCCUUCUGAAUUUAUUUCGUCUGUGAAAUGGGGAAAAGAUAGCCACCUUGCAUAACUGGUGAAGAAUUCGUAAACUGACAGCAGAAUCUAGUAAGAGGACUGGCCCGUGGUCGGCUCUUAAUGGUGUCACAGAAUAAAGAAAAAGACUGGGAGAGAGAUGGGAGCUGAUAGACCAGAGGAGACCAAAGACUGAAACUGAAGACUAAACCAUGGAAAUUGGGAACAAGCACUUACUCGCUUAGAGGGUGAAAAAAGUGAAUUUGCCUACAGGGCCAAUUUGGAAGCACCUCUCCCUGGAAGCCAGUCAAUGAAGAGCCAUUGGAGGAUUUUAAAUAAGGAACCGAAAAAUGGAGUCUGAAAAUAGAGGCGCAGAGACCGGUAAGUUGGUGGUUGCCAAUCAGUGGUCCAAGGAAAAGAUAAAUGAGCAGAGCCGUGAUCAGGACCAGAGAGGAGGCAACAGAAAAGAGAUGCUCAGGAUACAAUCGAUGCGCUUCGAGAGUGACUGGAGGUCAACCACAAUGAAGAACAAGCCAUUUUGACCUCCAUCCUGGCUCAUCUCCUCUGUGUUCUCAUAGCAUCAUAUUAUAGAAUGGAUCACAAACGCCUUUGCAGUUGCCUAUUUAUUUGUCCAUUUCUCCCUCCAGACUGUGAGUUCCCAGAGGGCAUGUCUUAUCUAUGUUAGUAGCCACAUCCCCGGUAUCUGGCUCUGUGGACAACACUCCGUAACUGUUGGAGGAAUGAAUGAAUGAGUGAGUGAGUGAGUGAAUGUUUUCCCUGAAAUUCAAACCUUGAUGGUUGAACUUGUCAUUAUUUGGUUUACGGAACAAGCUAGGCUGAUUGAAUUGACUUGGCCAGGCACAAUUAGGCAAAAUGUAACACAAAGAAGAUGAGUACACCAGCCUUGCUGAUUGAGGAGAUCAGCUGUGGAUGAGCCAAGUGCCAGCUGCCAGCUGCAGUUGCAAGGCCAUGUUCUUCUUCUAGCUAGGAACAUUCUGUGGCAGAGACUCACUCAGGGGUCUGAAUAUCAGAAUCACAACCAGAAAAUGGCUCAUUAUUGCACAGACAAAUAAUUGGCGGCUCUCUCCAAGUAACAGUGUCUUAAGUUAGGUUCCCUAGAAGCAGAUUAUAAAACGAAGACUCUUGGUCAAGUGAUUUACUGAGCUCAUGCUCUCAGGAGAAAAGGAGUGAGAGGAGCAUAAUAGGCAGGGAGAAAAGCUAGAGGAGAGCUCAGCUGGCGACUGGCUGCAGCCUGAUCACCUUGAGCUAUGGAGCUGGCCAACCCUUUGUCUCUCUGUGUGGAUUAGUCAUUGGCUGUGGGCUAUCCCUGGGGGCAGGAACCAUAACCUCCUAGUGAACACAGCUCUUAUUUCAGUAGAGAGCAAUUCUCUGGAAAAGUGGGCAGCUGUGAGCUAUUGAAAGUCAGUACCCAGAGCUGGAGGAUGGGUGCACGGCUGGUAAAGGUGCUCUGGGCAUGGCACCUCCAGCAUCUACCAGAGUUGGAUUGUGGGAAAUAUUGUUAUAGUCACUUUUCAAAAGAAUAUAUUUAUGCAGCCAACAGACAUAUGAAAAAAUGCUCAUGAUCACUGGUCAUUAAAGAAAUGCAAAUCAAAACCACAGUAAGAUGCCAUCUCACGCCAGUUAGAAUGGCGAUCAUCAAAAAGUCAGUAAACAACAGAUGCUGGAGAGGAUGUGGAGAAAUAGGAAUGCUUUUACACUGUUGGUGGGAGUGUAAAUUAGUUCAGCCAUUGAGGAAGACAGUGUGGCGAUUCCUCAAGGAUCUAGAACUGGAAAUACCAUUUGACCCAGCAAUCCCAUUACUGGGCUUAUACCCAAGGGAUUAUAA